Gadus morhua (Atlantic cod) is the source of this 4514-nucleotide long non-coding RNA. RefSeq lists it as uncharacterized. The record is from RefSeq and is a predicted model, not a curated record. The transcript has 3 exons. Lineage: Eukaryota; Metazoa; Chordata; Actinopteri; Gadiformes; Gadidae.
CUCUCUCUCUCUCUCUCUCUCUCUCUCUCUCUCUCUCUCUCUCUCUCUCUCUCUCUCUCUCUCUCUCUCUCUCUCUCCCCCUUACUUUAUGUCUCUCUCCCUCUCUGGGUUCUCCUUCAUUGUUUACAAGUGCUGUCACGUUAGGAACUCCUGCAGCAAGCAGUGGAACCGAGGCUGUUCUGCAUCGAGAUGGACGACUAGCAAUAACAAAUGCCCGCGCAGAGAAACUGUGUGUGUGUGUGUGUGUGUGUGUGUGUGUAUGUAAACUGCACGCGUGCAAAAAAAAGUUUAGCUUGUGUCUCCGUGGGAGGAUUUGUAGAGCUGAAAGAAGAGAGUGGAGUGGUCAGAAACAGAGGGGAGUUGGAAGGAGUUGCAGCAACUCCGACACACAAAGGAAGCUUCGGUUGGCGCCGGGUACCCGUCACAGUGGAGGGAGAACCAAGCAGCCUCCGGCACUAGCAGACGACGGUUUUCGGACAUUUCCGAUGGCCGAAUGGCCUAAGAUACCACCCAAGCCUGACUCCAUUUUGAUGCCAGAGGAUGUCUGACCAAUUAUCAACCAGCGUCUGCCCCCACUGGUAUGUUGGCAUGCUAUACUCCUUGCCUUUUGCUGUAUGUUUAGCUAAUGUGAAGUGUGGUAAAACCUAGGGCUGGAGUCUGUCAUGGGGGACUUUCGCUGCUGUUUGUUUUUGUUGUGUUUCUCUUUGAGUACUGCUGCAUUUCCCACUUUUUCUUGGUAAUAAACAAAUGAGCAGUUUUGUAAUAGGAAACAAUGCAUAAUACAGGUGUUUAGGUUUGCGAAAGCGCACAUUUUUUGUUUGUUUUAAUUCCGACAACAAUUCAAGGUUAUCCUAUUAUGUGAUUUAGCUUAACGGUUACAUAGUAUUGUUUGGUUUAAAUAUUUAGGUUGCGUUGUCUCAAUAACUCGUAUUUGUCUCAUGUGCUUGCGUGAUUCUUUUUUUUAUUAUUUUUAUUUACAAAAUAACUGAGAAUGAUAUCAGCAAAGUUCCGAUUUAUUUUUCAAGGUUGCUGCGAUACUAUUUCUCCAUUAAUAGAAAUGCAUUUUUUAUGAAAACUCACCCUAACUACUGAACAUCACAUAUUGUGUUCAUUGUAAAUGUUUUAUUGUUGCUUUGAGCAUAAUUUCUAAAACAUCCAAUACAUUUAAUUUGGUCGUUUCAUCACGCAAAUGAGAACGUUAAUCGAUUGUUAUUUAAAAUGCUUAUCUUACGCACAAAAUACUUGGAACACAAAAUAUAAUACACAUAUAACAAGAGAUAAUACAUACAGAUAACAAACUGAAGUCUUCAUUUAAUAAAAAAGUGAAGUGUUUUAAUUUUUUUAGAACUGUUAGACCUACUUUCAAUUAUUAUACUAUUCACUUUUAAAUGUGUUAUUGAUGGACAACACGUGAGAAUCUAAAAAGAGAGAUGAGUUCAAUAUCAGAAAGUUGGUUGAUUCGUGGACGACGUAGGGUGCAGAGUUCAUUUUAGACGGUAACUUUCACAGGGAUUACUACUGUUGCCAUGUGAUGUUCAGAAGGGGCGGGUUCAUAUCAGUUUGGUGACGUGAACUGAUGCUGCGGCAGUAUCCCUAAAAAGAGGGAGGGGCCUAGUGAGGCAAAAAGGGUUUGGCCAUCUAGUUUGACCUUCAUCUGUGUUCCUGUAUCGGUUGCAGUUUUCUUGUAGUAUUUUUGCUCAUGUUAUAGCACUGCGUUUUCGUCCUGAUUCGUUUCUGGAGAAUUCCGCCAACUGCCGCAAACCCGUAGAUCCGAACUUGUGGUGACUCUCUGCGCAAGUUCAUAUCUAUAGGUAUGUGUCAAACUGGCAAUUGCAGCCACUGUGUAUUUUUGUCUUUAAAGAGCUUGUGAGAAAUCGUGAGUACUUUGGAAAAUGGAUCCUGACGUGGUGGUCAAAGAAAGAAUAAUAAUGCGCGUAUUAUUUCUAUCACUUUCGUGUACGCCUCCGAACCGCGGCCUCAACGUCGUCUUGCAUGGGAUCGUAUUUCAGGAUUCACACAAUCAGAGCAGGAACCCCUAAGAAAUAAAAUACCCUUUCCCUCAUCACUGCCGUUUCAGUAGGCGUUGACAUCCCUCAGACACCACUGAGCCUCCGGACUCGUGGUCCACAGGUUGAGGUAGUAGGUUGUAUAGUUCAGAGUGACAUCGCAGGAGAUAACUGUACAGCCUCCUAGCUUUCCCUGUGGACACACUCCAAUACAUCGGACGCAUAGUCGCAGAAAGCAAUGUUUUACUUUAAUGUACUUUCCCGUUUAUUUUACAUUUAUGAUGAUGUACAUUAGCGUGAUUGAUCGAUGGAAUGAUGAAAUGAUGCAAUUAACAUUUUUUUUGGUCGUUUUUUAAAUUAUUUAAAUUAAUUUAAAGUUGUCUUCUAACCCUCGGUGUCAUUCAUGUGGUCUGUCAUUUCAAAUAAAAGAUGGGAAGAAGAUUUUGGGAUUUUUAAAUUGUAUUUCUAUGUUAUGUAUUUUUAUGAAUGCAGUGAGAAGAGAAAAUACGAUAAAUAGAGUAGCAAAAAAUAAGCAUGCAGCUCUCAAAAGAAAAGUAAAAAGAGAAAUUUAAUAGUCUACACUGUGCAUGUAUUUAUGUGUUAUUUUUGCUACUAUGAGAUCAAACAAAACUCCUCAAAAACGCUACAAUUCAAGUUCACUACAUAGAAAAAAGGACCAAAAUAAAUAAAGAAAGAAAGAAAUACAGGAAGAAAGGAAGAGGAGGAGCAGAACAUAUGAAAGGACCACAGCCUACUGGAGCAGGGAGGACCGCCGGUUUAAUGACAGAGAUGCCAUCGAGGGGAAAGAUUGGACAUGGCAGCCAAUUACGUACAAAGUUCGCUUUCACUAAACCAAAAACUGUGUGUUUCCUCCACACAACUAUUCUUUAAAGAGACAUUUUGAUCACAGAUGCCAGUGGCUACUCUCGCUGCAUCAAGCUGACAGGAACUCACGUCACGCUGAAAUGUAUUAUGGGUAAUUGGGAUGGCCCACUGUGUACGAUACUGUUUAUGGCAGAUACUGACAUCUGAAAGGAUGUUUUAACGUUUAUCUUUUCUGCUGAUGUGGUCUCACUGUAAGUUGUGUGAUACUUUUGUAGUUGGAAAAAGGGCUGAGCUUCAGGCACCGGAUUUCAGCUUUGGUUUCACUCCUGUGCUUUUGAGUCCCUCCUGUGGACUCUGUAAAUAACUACCAGCUAGGUUCAGCAAUUUACAGUUUGUUUUUUUUGCAUCAUUUCAACUCGCUCAAAGGUAUUUUCAACAUGUAAAAAAAAAUUGCAAAAUAUGGGCAGUGCUUCCCAUUUCCCCCGGCCUUCACGGAGGUCAGACCGGGUUCCCCUCCCCACAUCUCCUCAGCCGCGUAGGCCCCGGCCCGAGCGCCGCUGGUCUACUCUAAACAGAGCGAGCAGGAGGAAGUGGAUGCUUUUGUGUGUGUUUCGGACACAGGGUUAGUAUUUGGAGCGGGGAGUUUGGGAGCGGGGUUGAAAUGUGGCGAGGUUGAGGGGCGCAGCGGGGCUGCGUUGUUGCAGUGUUAAGGGUGCAGUGUAGCAGGGUCGAGGUGUAGCGGGGUUGAGGUGUAGCGGGGUUGAGUUGUAGCGGGGUUGAGGUGUAGCAGGGUUGAGUUGUGACGGGGUUGAGGUGUAGCAGGGUUGAGUUGUGACGGUGUUGAGGUGUCAGGGGGUGGACGGUGUUCCCGGGAUUGACGGUGUAACGGCGUUGAGGUGUAGUGAAGUUGAAGGUGCAGCGGGGGUUGACGGUGUAGCGCGGUCGACGGCCCACCGCGGUCGACGGCCCACCGCGCUUGACGGUGUAUCAGGGAUUGAGGUGGGGGUUUGAGGCGGGACGGAGGGCCGUUGGGCCAUGAGGACGGAGCACACACCCGACAGACAGAAGAGGUCAUAGGUCACGACACACACUGGGCCACCGAGGCCAGAGUGGGUAUGGUCCUAUCAGUGAGUAUCUCGUUGAGCUCUUUUUCCGACGCAAUAGUGGGGGAGUGGUAAACAAAUAAAUCAGUGUUCCUUUCUCUCUCUCUCUUUCACCCAUGUUUGUCAUCGGUCAUAUGUAUGCCAGUUUGUCAACAGUGAUCUGUCACAUGCAAGUAAGUUCCUCAUUCAUCCAUCUCAAUGCACUGCUCCUCUGGGUGCUUGGGCGAGCCAAUGCACGCCUUACCUUGAUUCACUCAAGUGAAAUCCAGAACCAACUGAACUCUGGCCUGUUUUGCCCUGGGGUUCACCGGCCGGUUCACAGUGGUAUUUCUCUGUCGGUGGUGUAGGGCUGUUGGCGAGGGGAGAAUCAAAGGCAAAAUACUCUCCUCACAACGAGAGAAUUUGACUCUGAGCUGCAUGUGAUGUGACGAGCCAACGCGGCAUGUGAUGUCUGUGGCCAGAGAGACUGAGAGACAGUAAUAGAGAGAGAGAGAGAGAGAGAGAGAGAGAGAGAGAGAGAGAGAGAGAGAGAGAGAGAGAGAGAGAGAGAGAGAGAGAGAGAGAGAGAGAGAGAGAGAGA